AUAUAUAUUUUUAAUUUUUAAAAAUUAUAUAUAUUUUGAAAAUUAAAAUUUUUUUUGUCAUCGUAUAGAUCAUCCAUAGAUCUACAACAUGUAACAAAAUUAAGCCUAAAUCGAAAAUGUUGACAUGAUCUUUUUUUAUUUUGUAAAUUUCGAGCUAUUUUUUCAAGCGUCCUCAAAAAAAUUGAGGGAAUGAGAUAAAAAAAUGAAGCACACCUGAUUUAGGCUCGAAUCUUCCUUCAAUCAUGCUGAAUUGGUAUGAUUUUCCCUGUGAGGGAAACGAAAAAAUCCAGAGAGCUUAGAAACGAUGUUGGGAAGGCCUUCUUGGGCUUUCCCAAUGUCUUUUAAUCAGCAAACAAAGGAAUUGGGAGGGGCCUAGUUCAAAAUCGGGUUGAUUCGGUGGGAACCGGACAGUUCGCACCGAGUUCGAACGGAACCGGCCAGUUUCGAACAGUUCCGGCCGGUUCCGAACGGUUCGGACUUUUUUUCGGUUGGUUCCGGUCGGUUCGGAAAUGGUUCCGGCCGCUUCGAGGCCGGAACCGACUCCAAUAGGCGAACCGACCUGGUUUCUUAUUGGGUCAGCUCGAUACAGGCUAAUCCAGGCAAUUCGAUCCAAUUCGGCCUUCCUUGGAUAUGAAGGUAAUUUUU
This 645-nucleotide long non-coding RNA is filed under the name Phoenix dactylifera (date palm). RNAcentral's name for it is "long non-coding RNA (PDAC_LNC019730)". Lineage: Eukaryota; Viridiplantae; Streptophyta; Magnoliopsida; Arecales; Arecaceae. The record is from RNAcentral.